This 301-nucleotide ribosomal RNA is filed under the name uncultured bacterium. RNAcentral describes it as "partial 16S ribosomal RNA". It matches the Rfam family "Bacterial small subunit ribosomal RNA", at positions 509 to 807 of the family's 1533-position model. The record is from RNAcentral.
CAGCCGCCGCGGUAAUACGAAGGGUGCAAGCGUUAAUCGGAAUUACUGGGCGUAAAGCGUGCGUAGGCGGUUUGUUAAGUCUGUUGUGAAAUCCCCGGGCUCAGCCUGGGAAUGGCAAUGGAUACUGGCAAGCUAGAGUGUGUCAGAGGAUGGUGGAAUUCCCGGUGUAGCGGUGAAAUGCGUAGAGAUCGGGAGGAACAUCAGUGGCAAAGGCGGCCAUCUGGGACAACACUGACGCUGAGGCACGAAAGCGUGGGGAGCAAACAGGAUUAGAUACCCGCGUAGUCCCUGUCUCUUAUAC